CCAUUGCAAUGCGAUGAAUAGAAAGAAAGCUGAUAGAUUGUUUUGUGGUGGCUUGCUUGUUUCAAAUGCAUAUUUAUACUUGUGAUUUUAAGAAGUUUAAAUUGUUUGUUUAGCAUUUUAUGCAUACUUCAAAGCGUUCGGUGACUUGACUCUCAGGCUAAGAUUUUGAGGAGCUGUCAUUGUUUAUAUUGAAAAACAC
Molecule: long non-coding RNA, 199 nt
Filed under: Panax ginseng (ginseng)
Lineage: Eukaryota; Viridiplantae; Streptophyta; Magnoliopsida; Apiales; Araliaceae
Description: long non-coding RNA (PGIN_LNC014101)
Source: RNAcentral